UAUCAAAAUUCAGAUUUACUCAAAUCCAAAUUUUCUCCCUCACGCAAUAUGUUCUCUCUCCCUCCCUCUCUGCCGUUUCCUUCUCCCAAAUUUCUCCGGCGAACGUCGCCGGUUCUCGUCGCCUCCGGCGCGGCGAGGCUGGCGUCUCUCUCCCCUCCUCCUUUCUUUCUUUUUUCUUUCCCUUAAUUUAAAUUAGUAACUACCUAGGGUUUUUAAAUCUUGUUCAAUCCUGUUCUCCGACGAGUUCCGCCGCGCCGCCGCCGUGCUCGUCGCAUCGCCACUCCUCCACCUCAGAUCUAGGAAUUUCGUUUCCAACGCUCCACUCACCGCCGUCCAGCAACUCGUCCCGCCUCCCCACCGUCGAUCCACUGCUGCGCCUGGCCUCGCCGUCGCCGUCGAUUGCAGCGCCUCGCCUCGCCGCGCUGCUGCGCCGUGUAUUGCUGCUCCUCGCCUCGCCGCACCGUCGAUUGUUGCGCCUCGACUCGCCAUCGAUUACUGCCACCCAUUGAGAUCUCUAAAUCCUGACGCCUCACCCCCCCUCGUCGCUCGACUGCACCUCCGCCUCAUUGUCUACGCUAUCACCAGGAACACCACUUUCGACAGCACCAAACAGAGCAGCUGAUUAGGGAAGCUUUGUGCUCCAUGACGGGCCUCCUUAUGCAAAUGGGGAUUUACAUAUGGGACAUGCCUUGAAUAAGAUUUUGAAGGAUAUUAUCAACCGCUAUAAGCUUCUUCAGAUUUUCCAAGUCAGUUAUGUGCCUGGUUGGGAUUGCCAUGGCUUGCCUACUGAACUGAAAG
This is a long non-coding RNA of Salvia miltiorrhiza (redroot sage), 798 nucleotides long. RefSeq lists it as uncharacterized. The transcript is spliced from 4 exons. NCBI's taxonomy places the organism in Eukaryota, Viridiplantae, Streptophyta, Magnoliopsida, Lamiales, Lamiaceae. The record is from RefSeq and is a predicted model, not a curated record.